RNAcentral lists this ribosomal RNA (432 nucleotides) under uncultured bacterium. Its description in RNAcentral is "partial 16S ribosomal RNA". It matches the Rfam family "Bacterial small subunit ribosomal RNA", at positions 29 to 506 of the family's 1533-position model. The record is from RNAcentral.
AACGAACGCUGGCGGCAUGCCUAACACAUGCAAGUCGAACGAGACCUUCGGGUCUAGUGGCGCACGGGUGCGUAACGCGUGGGAACCUGCCCUUAGGUUCGGAAUAACUCCCCGAAAGGGGUGCUAAUACCGGAUAAUGUCUUCGGACCAAGGAUUUAUCGCCUUUGGAUGGGCCCGCGUUGGAUUAGCUAGUUGGUAGGGUAAAAGCCUACCAAGGCGACGAUCCAUAGCUGGUCUGAGAGGAUGAUCAGCCACACUGGGACUGAGACACGGCCCAGACUCCUACGGGAGGCAGCAGUGGGGAAUAUUGGACAAUGGGCGAAAGCCUGAUCCAGCAAUGCCGCGUGAGUGAUGAAGGCCUUAGGGUUGUAAAGCUCUUUUACCCGGGAUGAUAAUGACAGUACCGGGAGAAUAAGCUCCGGCUAACUCCGU